This 330-nucleotide ribosomal RNA is filed under the name uncultured eukaryote. RNAcentral's name for it is "partial 18S ribosomal RNA". It matches the Rfam family "Eukaryotic small subunit ribosomal RNA", at positions 1470 to 1796 of the family's 1831-position model. The record is from RNAcentral.
CCCUUAGAUGUUCUGGGCCGCACGCGCGCUACACUGAUGCAUUCAACGAGCCUAUCCUUGACCGACAGGUCCGGGUAAUCUUUGAAUCUGCAUCGUGACGGGGAUAGAUUAUUGCAAUUAUUAAUCUUCAACGAGGAAUGCCUAGUAGGCGCAAGUCAUCAGCUUGCGUCGAUUACGUCCCUGCCCUUUGUACACACCGCCCGUCGCUACUAUCGAUUGAGCGGUUCAGUGAGGGCCUCGGAUUGGUCUCGGUCUGGCGUGCAAGCGCCGGCACCGAUGGUCGAGAAGAAGCUCGAACUCGAUCGCUUGGAGAAAGUAAAAGUCGUAACA